Molecule: ribosomal RNA, 423 nt
Filed under: uncultured bacterium
Lineage: Bacteria
Description: bacterial SSU rRNA
Rfam family: Bacterial small subunit ribosomal RNA
Source: RNAcentral
UAGGGAAUAUUGCUCAAUGGGCGAAAGCCUGAAGCAGCAACGCCGCGUGGAGGAUGACACUUUUCGGAGCGUAAACUCCUUUUCUUAGGGAAGAACAAUGACGGUACCUAAGGAAUAAGCACCGGCUAACUCCGUGCCAGCAGCCGCGGUAAUACGUAGGGGGCGAGCGUUGUCCGGAAUGACUGGGCGUAAAGGGCGUGUAGGCGGCCGACUAAGUCUGAUGUGAAAUACCCGCUUUUAAGGUGGGUCGUGCAUUGGAAACUGGAUGGCUAGAGUGCGGAAGAGGUAAGUGGAAUUCCCAGUGUAGCGGUGAAAUGCGUAGAGAUUGGGAGGAACACCAGUGGCGAAGGCGACUUACUGGGCCGCAACUGACGCUGAGGCGCGAAAGCGUGGGGAGCAAACAGGAUUAGAUACCCUGGUAGU